This 1176-nucleotide ribosomal RNA is filed under the name Listeria monocytogenes. RNAcentral describes it as "partial 23S ribosomal RNA". It matches the Rfam family "Bacterial large subunit ribosomal RNA", at positions 1 to 1169 of the family's 2925-position model. Lineage: Bacteria; Bacillati; Bacillota; Bacilli; Caryophanales; Listeriaceae. The record is from RNAcentral.
UUGGUUAAGUUAGAAAGGGCGCACGGUGGAUGCCUUGGCACUAGGAGCCGAAGAAGGACGGGACUAACACCGAUAUGCUUUGGGGAGCUGUACGUAAGCGUUGAUCCAGAGAUUUCCGAAUGGGGGAACCCACUAUCUUUAGUCGGAUAGUAUCCUUACGUGAAUACAUAGCGUGAGGAAGGCAGACCCAGGGAACUGAAACAUCUAAGUACCUGGAGGAAGAGAAAGAAAAAUCGAUUUCCUGAGUAGCGGCGAGCGAAACGGAAAGAGCCCAAACCAAGAAGCUUGCUUCUUGGGGUUGUAGGACACUCUAUACGGAGUUACAAAAGAAAGUUAUAAAUGAAGCGGUCUGGAAAGGCCCGCCAAAGACGGUAACAGCCCGGUAGUUGAAAUGGCUUUCCCUCCAGAGUGGAUCCUGAGUACGGCGGAACACGUGAAAUUCCGUCGGAAUCCGGGAGGACCAUCUCCCAAGGCUAAAUACUCCCUAGUGACCGAUAGUGAACCAGUACCGUGAGGGAAAGGUGAAAAGCACCCCGGAAGGGGAGUGAAACAGUUCCUGAAACCGUGUGCCUACAAGUAGUUAGAGCCCGUUAAUGGGUGAUAGCGUGCCUUUUGUAGAAUGAACCGGCGAGUUACGAUUUGUUGCAAGGUUAAGCGGAAAAAGCGGAGCCGUAGCGAAAGCGAGUCUGAAUAGGGCGCAUAAGUAACAGGUCGUAGACCCGAAACCAGGUGAUCUACCCAUGUCCAGGAUGAAGGUAAGGUAAUACUUACUGGAGGUCCGAACCCACGCACGUUGAAAAGUGCGGGGAUGAGGUGUGGGUAGCGGAGAAAUUCCAAUCGAACUUGGAGAUAGCUGGUUCUCUCCGAAAUAGCUUUAGGGCUAGCCUCGAGGUAAAGAGUCAUGGAGGUAGAGCACUGUUUGGACUAGGGGCCCUUCUCGGGUUACCGAAUUCAGAUAAACUCCGAAUGCCAUGUACUUAUACUCGGGAGUCAGACUGCGAGUGAUAAGAUCCGUAGUCGAAAGGGAAACAGCCCAGACCACCAGUUAAGGUCCCCAAAUAUAUGUUAAGUGGAAAAGGAUGUGGGGUUGCUUAGACAACCAGGAUGUUGGCUUAGAAGCAGCCACCAUUGAAAGAGUGCGUAAUAGCUCACUGGUCGAGUGACCCCGCGCCGAAA